CACCAAUCAAGCCUCGCUUGGUAUUAGGCCCUCGCCCCCGUCAAGGGAGGCGUGCCUCAAACAUGUCGGCGGAGCCCCAUCGGCCCUAGGCGUAGUAGAAUUUAUCAAACGUCUUUGGGAAGUCGGGACCCCUGCCGCGCAACCAAAACCUUUUUUACCAGGUUGACCUCGGAUCAGGUAGGGAUACCCGCUGAACUUAA
This 200-nucleotide unclassified non-coding RNA is filed under the name soil metagenome. RNAcentral's name for it is "partial contains internal transcribed spacer 2 and large subunit ribosomal RNA". The record is from RNAcentral.